CAGGUGGUGCAUGGUUGUCGUCAGCUCGUGUCGUGAGAUGUUGGGUUAAGUCCCGCAACGAGCGCAACCCUCGACCUUAGUUGCCAGCAUUCAGUUGGGCACUCUAAGGUGACUGCCGGCUAAAAGUCGGAGGAAGGUGGGGAUGACGUCAAAUCAUUAUGCCCCUUAUGACCUGGGCUACACACGUGCUACAAUGGGCGGUACAAAGGGUCGCGAACCCGCGAGGGGGAGCCAAUCCCAAAAAGCCGCUCUCAGUUCGGAUUGCAGGCUGCAACUCGCCUGCAUGAAGCCGGAAUCGCUAGUAAUCGCGGAUCAGCAUGCCCGCGGUCGAAUACGUUCCCGGGCCUU
RNAcentral lists this ribosomal RNA (348 nucleotides) under uncultured Anoxybacillus sp. RNAcentral's name for it is "bacterial SSU rRNA". It matches the Rfam family "Bacterial small subunit ribosomal RNA", at positions 1035 to 1382 of the family's 1533-position model. The record is from RNAcentral. Lineage: Bacteria; Bacillati; Bacillota; Bacilli; Caryophanales; Anoxybacillaceae.